ACUUUUAAUGGACAACAGGAGUCCAA
This 26-nucleotide transfer RNA is filed under the name Agama sankaranica. RNAcentral's name for it is "partial tRNA-Leu". The record is from RNAcentral. Lineage: Eukaryota; Metazoa; Chordata; Lepidosauria; Squamata; Agamidae.